UCCUCGAUAGUCUAGUGGUGAGAAUAUCGGCUUGUCACGCCGGGGACCGGGGUUCAAUUCCCCGUCGAGGAG
Colletotrichum orbiculare MAFF 240422 is the source of this 72-nucleotide non-coding RNA. The record is from Rfam. Lineage: Eukaryota; Fungi; Ascomycota; Sordariomycetes; Glomerellales; Glomerellaceae.